GUGCAAUGUUAACUCUCAAAAAUGAUAUUCGAAGAAAACUAAUUGAUCAUCUAAUUGUUUUUAGAUGCAGUUGUAAAUGAAAGCUUUUGAGGCAGUAUUUGCAACAAGAAGAUGACGAGAAGAUCGAUUAUAAUGCAGAGACCAUGGUUGAUAACAUCCAUCUUUUGAUGAAAGUAUUUCUCGGUGUCGUGUUCCGUCCGCAGAUAUUACUACAACAUUUUCACUUCGUAAUCCUGCUACGAAAACGUUGCCAUUAUUGUCCACAGAGAUACCGAGUGGAUGCUUAAGAACAUCAUCUUUCUUAAAUGUCCAUUGUUUGUUACCUUUCAAAUCAUAACAUGUCACGGAAUUUUUGUCGGGAUUUGUCUGGUAAAUAUUGUUAGCAAAAGUUGCAACGUAACAACUGCCAAACCAUUCUUCUCGAACUAUUUUGUGUUCUGAUUCGUCCUGUAGAUUGAUCACGUGGAUUCCGUCGCUACUACUAUAGUAAAUGGUCCCACCAUCACCUCCUGCUAUACCAUAUGCACUCUUCUUAAGUGUUCUCUUUUUCUUUAUUUGUU
RNAcentral lists this long non-coding RNA (560 nucleotides) under Mytilus galloprovincialis (Mediterranean mussel). The record is from RNAcentral. Lineage: Eukaryota; Metazoa; Mollusca; Bivalvia; Mytilida; Mytilidae.